RNAcentral lists this long non-coding RNA (1144 nucleotides) under Olea europaea subsp. europaea. The record is from RNAcentral. Lineage: Eukaryota; Viridiplantae; Streptophyta; Magnoliopsida; Lamiales; Oleaceae.
GUUUUCUCGUAAGGAAGGUUUAUUCAUUUUUGCUUAUUUCUUUCCUGAGAAUAAAGCUCUGAAAGCAUGAGUAUUGUUCCUUAUAUGUAUUUAGACUACGGAUGCUCGUUUUGGGAAGUUCUCCCGAACUGGAUCAAGUAGGCAAAAUAUUCCCAAUAUCCGGCUAUUGAAGAAAUGUUCACCCCGCACAAGAAGCCUUAUAAUUGUAGGUCAGUAUUUUCUCUCAAGAUAAUCAGAUUUAAUCUUAACUAUUUGCGUCCCACGUGUUAUGUACUUUUUCUCUAGAAAAUAAUGAGCUCACCCACAGAUAUUAGUAUGAAACGUGCUUUUUAUGUUGAGAUGAAUAAGCUUUUACUAAGCGAUUAUUGUUCAAAUGUCCAUCAAAUUUUUCUAAAAACUUGUCCAGAAACUUCAUAAUUAUUUAAAAUACGUAUUUUCCUCUUCAACAAUCAUUUAUUUCUAAAACUCUUCCUGAUAUUCAAGAAUGAAAUAUUAGUACACGAGUUCCUUGUCACCCUUUUACAAAUUUGGUUUAUAGGGUUUCUAUUUCAUGGAGAAUCAGUUGGGGGUGAAAAACAGAUGUGCAAUUAAGAUUGAAAAAUCCAAACUCAAUAUCUGGGAGUUCCCAUCAAAAAACGGGUAUGUUCUUCUUCACUAACUGUUUUAAGGGCAAGUUUGUAAUUUCCAGAUGCUUUAAUUAGCCUCUGAGUGAAUUUUUUUCGACUUACAUUGCUAAAUAAUUGAUGGCAAUGUCUUAGGCAGUGCCAGAUGAUUCGGCGAAUGGUUAAUGAAGAUUAUUGCAAUAAAAUUGCAAGCUAAAGUGGCAGCCAUCUGCAACACAGUUUUACAGAAAGUUGUUGAAGCUCAAUAGCCAAUUACACAGUAAUUAUUUAAUGAGGUUAGAUUUGGUAUGGGAAUUUGUGUAUGCAAUUUUACCCAAAAUUGUUGCAGCUUAUUUUUUAUUUUAUUUUUCAUUUUUCUGGAUUAAAGUCUACUUUGAAUUUGGGAUAUCCACACUUCAUGAUAGAGUUCAAAUUUUUUAUACCUUUUCUUCCCCUUUUUUUAAUAAAUCACUCUAAUAAUAGUCUCUGGCUUUUGAUCUAACUGAGACAAGGAUUUCUGUUGUGAUUCAAUAACAUCUGAG